GAGUUUGAUCAUGGCUCAGAUUGAACGCUGGCGGCAUGCUUUACACAUGCAAGUCGAACGGUAACGCGGGGGCAACCCUGGCGACGAGUGGCGAACGGGUGAGUAAUACAUCGGAACGUGUCCUGGAGUGGGGGAUAGCUCGGCGAAAGCCGGAUUAAUACCGCAUACGCUCUGAGGAGGAAAGCGGGGGACCUUCGGGCCUCGCGCUGCGGGAGCGGCCGAUGUCGGAUUAGCUAGUUGGUGGGGUAAAGGCCUACCAAGGCGACGAUCCGUAGCUGGUCUGAGAGGAUGAUCAGCCACACUGGGACUGAGACACGGCCCAGACUCCUACGGGAGGCAGCAGUGGGGAAUUUUGGACAAUGGGGGCAACCCUGAUCCAGCCAUGCCGCGUGAGUGAAGAAGGCCUUCGGUUGUAA
RNAcentral lists this ribosomal RNA (416 nucleotides) under uncultured beta proteobacterium. RNAcentral's name for it is "bacterial SSU rRNA". It matches the Rfam family "Bacterial small subunit ribosomal RNA", at positions 9 to 428 of the family's 1533-position model. The record is from RNAcentral. Lineage: Bacteria; Pseudomonadati; Pseudomonadota; Betaproteobacteria.